GGAGUUAGCCGGUGCUUCUUCUGUGAGUGAUGUCCUUCCUGCCGGCUAUUAACCCGCAGGCCUUCUUCCUCACUGAAAGUGCUUUACAACCCGAAGGCCUUCUUCACACACGCGGCAUGGCUGGAUCAGGGUUGCCCCCAUUGUCCAAUAUUCCCCACUGCUGCCUCCCGUAGGAGUCUGGGCCGUGUCUCAGUCCCAGUGUGGCUGAUCAUCCUCUCAGACCAGCUACGGAUCGUCGCCUUGGUGAGCCGUUACCUCACCAACCAGCUAAUCCGACAUAGGCUCAUCCGAUAGCGCGAGGCCCGAAGGUCCCCCGGCUUUCCCCCGUAGGGCGUAUGCGGUAUUAGCCUGGGUUUCCCCAGGUUAUCCCCCACUACCGGGCAGAUUCCUAUGCAUUACUCACCCGUCCGCCGCUCGCCACCAGGGAGCAAGCUCCCCGUUGCUCGCCGCUCGUACUUGCAUGUGUUACGGUCCGUCGCCGCCACGUCGUUACAACUCUAGACGCCAGACUACAAACUCUAGA
Molecule: ribosomal RNA, 523 nt
Filed under: uncultured bacterium
Lineage: Bacteria
Description: partial 16S ribosomal RNA
Source: RNAcentral